RNAcentral lists this transfer RNA (56 nucleotides) under Diapriidae sp. ZJUH_2016010. Its description in RNAcentral is "tRNA-Ser". The record is from RNAcentral. Lineage: Eukaryota; Metazoa; Arthropoda; Insecta; Hymenoptera; Diapriidae.
GAAAUAUAUUAUAGAACUUCUAAUUCUUUUAAAAAUGUUAAAUCAUUUAUAUUUCU